UACGUAGGGACCAAGCGUUGUUCGGAUUUACUGGGCGUAAAGGGCGCGUAGGCGGCAAUUCAAGUCAUCUGUGAAAUCUCCGGGCUUAACUCGGAACGGUCAGAUGAUACUGCUUUGCUAGAGUGCGGAAGGGGCAAUCGGAAUUCUUGGUGUAGCGGUGAAAUGCGUAGAUAUCAGGAGGAACACCGAUGGCGAAGGCAGUUCUCUGGGCCGUAACUGACGCUGAGGAGCGAAAGCGUGGGGAGCGAACAGG
Molecule: ribosomal RNA, 253 nt
Filed under: uncultured bacterium
Lineage: Bacteria
Description: partial 16S ribosomal RNA
Rfam family: Bacterial small subunit ribosomal RNA
Source: RNAcentral